This 468-nucleotide ribosomal RNA is filed under the name uncultured bacterium. RNAcentral's name for it is "partial 16S ribosomal RNA". It matches the Rfam family "Bacterial small subunit ribosomal RNA", at positions 28 to 507 of the family's 1533-position model. The record is from RNAcentral.
GACGAACGCUGGCGGCGUGCUUAACACAUGCAAGUCGAACGGAAAGGCCCUGCUUUUGUGGGGUGCUCGAGUGGCGAACGGGUGAGUAACACGUGAGUAACCUGCCCUUGACUUUGGGAUAACUUCGGGAAACUGGGGCUAAUACCGGAUAGGAGCUCCUGCUGCAUGGUGGGGGUUGGAAAGUUUCGGCGGUUGGGGAUGGACUCGCGGCUUAUCAGCUUGUUGGUGGGGUAGUGGCUUACCAAGGCUUUGACGGGUAGCCGGCCUGAGAGGGUGACCGGCCACAUUGGGACUGAGAUACGGCCCAGACUCCUACGGGAGGCAGCAGUGGGGAAUAUUGCACAAUGGGCGGAAGCCUGAUGCAGCAACGCCGCGUGCGGGAUGACGGCCUUCGGGUUGUAAACCGCUUUCGCAUGUGACGAAGCGUGAGUGACGGUAAUGGGUAAAGAAGCACCGGCUAACUACGUG